UGAGUCCGAGGAACUAAGGUUCCAAAGUGAUGCGAGUCAUACUUCCCAGAAAAGCCCGAACCACGUUAAUUUCUAAUUACCUGUACCCGAAACCGACACAGGUGGGUAGGUAGAGUAUACUAAGGGGCGCGAGAUAACUCUCUCUAAGGAACUCGGCAAAAUGACUCCGUAACUUCGGGAGAAGGAGUGCCUUAUUUAUAAGGUUGCAAUAACAAGAUCCAAGCAACUGUUUAUCAAAAACACAGGUCUCCGCUAAGUCGUAAGACGAUGUAUGGGGGCUGACGCCUGCCCAGUGCCAGAAGGUUAAAGAAGUUGGUUAGUGUAUGCGAAGCUGAUGACUGAAGCCCUGGUGAACGGCGGCCGUAACAAUAACGGUCCUAAGGUAGCGAAAUUCCUUGUCGGGUAAGUUCCGACCCGCACGAAAGGCGUAAUGAUUUGGAUACUGUCUCGGAGAGAGGCUCGGUGAAAUAGACUUGUCUGUGAAGAUGCGGACUACCUGCACCAGGACAGAAAGACCCUAUGAAGCUUUACUGUAACUUGAAAUUGGAAUUGGACUUUGCUUGCGCAGUAUAGGUGGGAAGCGUUGAAGAUAUUCUUGCGGGAGUAUUGGAGCUAUCAGUGAGAUACCACUCUUGUAAUGUUAGAUUUCUAACUUUGAACCAUAAUCUGGUCAAAGAACAGUUUCAGGUGGGCAGUUUGACUGGGGCGGUCGCCUCCCAAAUGGUAACGGAGGCGUACAAAGGUUUCCUCUGAACGGAUAGAAAUCGUAUCUAGAGUGUAAAGGCAUAAGGAAGCUUGACUGUGAGACCUACAAGUCGAGCAGGGACGAAAGUCGGUCUUAGUGAUCUGACGGUACUGAGUGGAAAGGCCGUCACUCAACGGAUAAAAGUUACUCUAAGGAUAACAGGCUGAUCUCCCCCAAGAGUUCACAUCGACGGGGAGGUUUGGCACCUCGAUGUCGGCUCAUCGCAUCCUGGGGCGGUAGUACGUCCCAAGGGUUGGGCUGUUCGCCCAUGAAAGCGGUACGCGAGCUGGGUUCAGAACGUCGUGAGACAGUUCGGUCCAUAUCCGGUGUAGGCGUUAGAAUAUUGAGAGGAGCCUUCUUUAGUACGAGAGGACCGAGAAGGACACACCGCUGGUGUACCAGUUAUCGUGCCAACGGUAAACGCUGGGUAGCUAUGUGUGGAGUGGAUAACCGCUGAAAGCAUCUAAGUGGGAAGCCCACCUCAAGAUGAG
Molecule: ribosomal RNA, 1236 nt
Filed under: metagenome
Description: bacterial LSU rRNA
Rfam family: Bacterial large subunit ribosomal RNA
Source: RNAcentral